GAUCUCUGCAAGUCUGAAAUUUUGUUGCCAGGCGCCUCCCCGAAUUGUAAAGAUUUAUUUUCAAUAAAUUAUCAAUAGAAGGCGAUGUCACCGAGCCUUCAGCAAGUUCUUGGACCUCUCUCAUCAUCCUGAUCAGAAAGACAGGGUUGUCACUUAAAGAGGAGGAUGAAAUUCCCCGACUUUUCCAGGUGUGUUUUGAGAAAAUUCCAAUCUACCCACAUAGUGCUCGUUGGCUGCCCGGAGAGAAUGAAAGGCUGGUGGAGAAUAAACCAUUUCAUUGCUACAAUCCAAGCUGGGGUUAUAAUUGUAUGGCCAGAUGGUUUUAUGUAUGAUCAGUUCCGGAAGCAAUUCACUUUAUACACUUGCUAUACGAGCAUUCUCCAGUUUCUACAAUUUAACUACCAGCAAGGUUGUUUGUAUAGAUUACGAGCUCUUGGCGAGAGACAUAAAAUGGAUAUUACUAUAGAAGGUUUUCAUUCCUGGAUGUGGAAAGGACUAAGUUUUUUAUUGCCAUUCCUUUAUAUAGGUUAUAUUUUCCAGUUAUAUAAUGCAUAUACACUAUAUAAUUUGAGUAAGGAUGAAAAAUGUGUUGAAUGGCAGAUAAGAAAAAUUAAAAAAACAAUCAACAGACGGUGCUGGUAUGAACGACUUAGUUGGAAAUAUGCAAGUGAGACAGGCGAUUGUAAAUACUUACACUCCUGAUCCAGAACCAGUUCUCCAUUGCAUCCCAUAUAAGUGAACAAGGAUGGUGGAAAAAAGUGGAAAAGAAAAAGCUUUUGUUGGUGAAGCUGUUUUACAUGAACCAGGAUGCUGACUACUACUCUGAAUUGCAGGAUGAGGGUUUGAAGCCUGUGUAUUUGUUUCUGCUGUCAUAUUUUUCAUCUUGUUUUUGGGAAAUACAUUCACAACAUCAAGAGUCAUUCAUCAAAAGUUAACAGAGAAAAUUGUCAAAACUUUGAUUCCAACAGAAGAAAAAGAACUUGUAAAUAGAA
RNAcentral lists this unclassified non-coding RNA (992 nucleotides) under Stegodyphus dumicola. Its description in RNAcentral is "ion channel TACAN-like, transcript variant X3". Lineage: Eukaryota; Metazoa; Arthropoda; Arachnida; Araneae; Eresidae. The record is from RNAcentral.